RNAcentral lists this ribosomal RNA (497 nucleotides) under uncultured bacterium. RNAcentral describes it as "partial 16S ribosomal RNA". It matches the Rfam family "Bacterial small subunit ribosomal RNA", at positions 28 to 507 of the family's 1533-position model. The record is from RNAcentral.
GAUGAACGCUGGCGGCGUGCCUAAUACAUGCAAGUCGAGCGAACGGACGAGAAGCUUGCUUUUCUGAUGUUAGCGGCGGACGGGUGAGUAACACGUGUAUAACCUACCUAUAAGACUGGGAUAACUUCGGGAAACCGGAGCUAAUACCGGAUAAUAUUUUGAACCGCAUGGUUCAAAAGUGAAAGACGGUCUUGCUGUCACUUAUAGAUGGAUCCGCGCUGCAUUAGCUAGUUGGUAAGGUAACGGCUUACCAAGGCUACGAUGCAUAGCCGACCUGAGAGGGUGAUCGGCCACACUGGAACUGAGACACGGUCCAGACUCCUACGGGAGGCAGCAGUAGGGAAUCUUCCGCAAUGGGCGAAAGCCUGACGGAGCAACGCCGCGUGAGUGAUGAAGGUCUUCGGAUCGUAAAGCUCUGUUAUUAGGGAAGAACAUAUGUGUAAGUAACUGUGCACAUCUUGACGGUACCUAAUCAGAAAGCCACGGCUAACUACGUG